UCGGGGUCUCUGGUUGCCGGACCGACGUCGGAGCCCACUUGCCGGCCGGGCUGCCUUCUUCCUCGAUGCCCUCGAGCCUGGGAAGCGGCGCAUUGUGCUCGGUGCAUUGCUCCAUUGCCUGACGAGAAUCAAAGGUUGGCGCUGAAUUGCUUAUUUAAACAACUGAAAUUUGCAUGUAGUGAUCAGUGGGUAAAAGUCAGUCUGAUGGUUACAGCUAGCUUUACAUUAGCAACCAGUGAAGCAAGAAAGUUGCACUAAUGAGCAUGCAGUUACAGAGGAGAGGAGUGCCAUAAUGUACGCACGUACACACGCUUAACAGGAUGUCAGGGAGGGAUCUUGUAGACUGAGAGAGAAUCCAAAGGUUUUUAUUUGAUGCUAGGAUGGGGCUCAGUGACAUGGACUCUUCUCUUGUCAGAGGAAGCAGUUGCAGAGCACCACGGAGGAAGUUGCUGUCAGGUUUGUCCUAUAUAUGGAAGCUAGGAAGAGACAAGCUUGGUAGGCAGCAUCAUUAACUUAUCGCGCAUCUAGCAAGGGCGAGCUAAUUCUAUAUUCUUCUACAGUUACAUCCUGGCUUUCUGCAGCUAAUGCCUAAUUGCCUGCUACUUAUCUCUUUCAUCAAGAAACAAUAAUGUCGAUCCAUUUGCUCCACACAAGUCUAAUCAAAUGCAAUGCCUUUCAUUCCCAAGGCCUCCCAUGAAAAGAGCUCAAAUUUUGCUUUUCAAAGUAAAACGGCGUAGUGGCCAGCAUCUUUGUGUGCCACGCCUAUGGUGCCUGGAGUAUGGAGUAUGGUGUUCAAUCUAGCAAGGCAAUAUGAUCGUGCAGCAUUUGAUAGUUGAUACAGUACAGAGGUGAAGCCUCUCUGACAGAAGCACAGCAACCCCAGUUUGAUUCUGCAAGCAUUUGCAGUGUUGGCAUCCGAAAGACUGAAGUUACUGAACCCAUGAACUGAACACCAUGCUCAACAAGGAACAGAGCAGAGGAAGAGAAACAUGGAUCUGCAUCUGUUGGUCUUCAAUUUUCAGGCAGGGCGUGAUCAUUAGAUGCGAGAUAAUUGCACACUGCUAGUAUAUACUGGGUGAUGAUGUGGUUACGUGCGCGUGAUCUGAAUCAUUGGUCAGCAACAAAAUAAAGUGCAGUACUUGUGCCCAUGACAUCGAGCUAAGCGCAUGCCUGAUGGCAUUUACAAGUACUUGAGACAAAAGUGUUUGGCAUCAACUAGUGACGAAAUUGAAUCACAUGAAACAAACAAGGGAAUAUGCCUUGUCAUUAGCAUCCUGGUGAUCAAAGCGACUUGCUUUCGUAUUUUCAUGAAAUAUGCUGAUGGGGCUUGCUUAUCUCUUCUUUGUCUGCUUUAAUGGUCCGUAUGAUUGGGUGCUUACGGAAAGAGAAUGAUUCAGGGCUUCCUCCUUUUCAUGUUGGAGGGAAUGAUGCGCCCUGCAAUCCGUGUUUCCUGCAGCUCGUGCCAAGAAUUCUUGCUAGCUCCUCGCGUCAAGGGGCCCAUUAGGCAUUUGGAGACACGAAUCUGGGAAUCAAUCCUGUGCAAGAAGAAUUGUUCUCCUCCUGGUUGAAAUAAAAUAACUAUCAGUUUUUUCUUUCAAUUUUGCAGGUACAUUGGACUGGUAUCUUCUGGUACCAUUUCAAAAGAAGAAAAACAUAAAGAGCUGCACCAAGGAGCGCUAUCUUGUCUUUUUCAUAAUUGCUUCAUUUGCCCGUACAUGUUUUUUCUCGGGCUAAAGCUCCCCGAAUAGCAAGCAAAUUGAGUAAUUGGCCGACGCUAGUCCACCACCCACCUGCUCAUGAUCCCACACAUUAUGCUACAAGGUUUAUUUAUCUUUGAUCUUCUGCAUCCCAUCUUUCCUGUAUUUCUUAGUGAGCAACAUCAUGAUGCAGAUAUACAUCGAGCUUGUCCUAAGUGCUUAGUGACAUCAAGAUCAAGAGGCAUAAGGCAAAAACUUGUUUCCAGUUAGUAGUUUUUUUGUUGGCUUUCCCUAGAAAAAUAUAACCCCAAGCAAUUGACAAGCUUUGUUUUGCUUUCCUUCCUUUUUCCACUCCAGCAUGCCAAAAGAAAUACUACACGCUUGAGAAAGCAAGCGUCUCAUCAUCGCCGUUCGUGCACGGAAAAGAUAAAAGGUGCUGCUACAACGUGAUGAUAAGACUCUUUCGUGGUAGUGGAAGCAGCUGUUCGUUCGCUCGACAAGACCCUAAAUUUUGGGGGCACCAACUCCCA
This 2227-nucleotide long non-coding RNA is filed under the name Setaria italica (foxtail millet). RNAcentral describes it as "long non-coding RNA (SITA_LNC003358)". The record is from RNAcentral. Lineage: Eukaryota; Viridiplantae; Streptophyta; Magnoliopsida; Poales; Poaceae.